RNAcentral lists this ribosomal RNA (497 nucleotides) under uncultured bacterium. RNAcentral describes it as "partial 16S ribosomal RNA". It matches the Rfam family "Bacterial small subunit ribosomal RNA", at positions 28 to 507 of the family's 1533-position model. The record is from RNAcentral.
GAUGAACGCUGGCGGCGUGCCUAAUACAUGCAAGUCGAGCGAACAGAUGAGGAGCUUGCUCCUCUGACGUUAGCGGCGGACGGGUGAGUAACACGUGGAUAACCUACCUAUAAGACUGGGAUAACUUCGGGAAACCGGAGCUAAUACCGGAUAAUAUAUUGAACUGCAUGGUUCAAUAGUGAAAGACGGUUUUGCUGUCACUUUUAGAUGGUUCCGCGCCGCAUUAGCUAGUUGGUAAGGUAACGGCUUACCAAGGCAACGAUGCGUAGCCGACCUGAGAGGGUGAUCGGCCACACUGGAACUGAGACACGGUCAAGACUCAUACGGGAGGCAGCAGUAGGGAAUCUGCCGCAACGGGCGAAAGCCUGACGGAGCAACGCCGCGUGAGUGAUGAAGGUCUUCGGAUCGUAAAACUCUGUUAUUAGGGAAGAACAAAUGUGUAAGUAACUAUGCACGUCUUGACGGUACCUAAACAGAAAGCAACGGCUAACUACGUG